UGCUUUUAUACCCCACAGAAAUUUGA
This 26-nucleotide non-coding RNA is filed under the name Rattus norvegicus (Norway rat). The record is from RNAcentral. Lineage: Eukaryota; Metazoa; Chordata; Mammalia; Rodentia; Muridae.